GAACUCCACUGGACUGCGUUGCAAGCUCUGAGGCCAAAUAUUCAGUUUAGGUAAUUUUUAACUUCAGAACCACAGUUCCCAUUUUCUGUGAUUGCUUAUUCAGCGUUUUCUGUGGUAAAAUAUUCGUGAGACAGAAUUUAAUUCGAAUACUUUUAAGUGGGCAGUCCAUGGCAUUAAGCACACUCGCACACAACUCCUCUUUUCACCUCCAGAACUUUACCCUCUCCCAGCCCCUCCCAGCCCCGGCAGCCCCCUUCUCCCUGACUCUGUGGAUGGGAUUGUCUCAUGCUCUGUGUCUGCCAUCAGCUCCUAGGAUGAUCCCAGUGAGUGAGGACUUGAAACCCUCUCAGUGCUGAGCUCGGAGAUGAAGUCUAUGUGCUUGCAGCACGGCUGCUAGCUGACUCUCCCUCCCAGCACAGCUUCCGCGGCUGGCGCUCUCAUUGAGGCAAAGAGGUUUCACUGCAUCAGCUCACGGCUGAGUUUAGAGACUCGAAAGCCAUAGCAGGCAAGAUACGAAGGUUGGAAGAGCUGAGCCUGGGACUGAGCAAUGUAUGACAGGGAACCAUGGGAGAAAAAGCCUGUGUGCCAACACUCCUGGGAGAUCAGCUCUGUCCGGGUGGAAUUUGUGUAUGGAUUGCAGACCUGAUGGAAACCGGAAGGAUCCUGUCCCUUGCUGUUUCAUGGUUCCUGUGUCCUGAUGGCUCUGGGAGGAUCCCUCUUCAGCCUCAAGCCUGGAUCUUAUUCCUUUUCUGGCAUGGUGAUUCUGCUUUCUCCCCCUUCUGUGUUUCUUGACCAGGAAUUCUGAAAGUAUUGCCUCUUUCUUCCUGCCCAGACAUUGGCUGCUGGCAAAUUUAUUUACUGGUCAAAGCCAACUGGAGAUUGGGACCAUCAGCAUCUUACAUGUACAUAUGCAAAUUCCUGUGCAAUUUUGGAAACCCAAUUAGUACAAUAUAAGCAAUAAACCAAUUCCACAAUAGUGUGUGUGUAUGUACAUGUAUAUCUGUUUAGUUUUUUUCCUUCCCCCCUGGAACUAUGAAAAAGUAACUCUGAUUUUGAAAUUAUAAUAUCAGUAGAGAAGGGCUAUGUAGGUCAACAUUCUGUUAUAGAAGCACGUCUCCUCUGUUGAAAGUACAGCCAUAAGUGAAUUGUUUGCAUGAAGUUGCAGCCAACUUAGAAUUUCAAAUUCUCUGUAUGUAAUAUACUUAAGAGGCCAAACAUUUGAAGAUAUGACUUGUAGAACAAUUGCCCUUUUUCCUGUGUGUGUAAUGUACCCUAGUAUUUAGACUAAGCUGGCCUCAGAUUCAUAGAGCUCUGCCAGUCUCUGCCUCAAGAGUGCUGGAAUUUAAGGUGUGUACCUCCAUGCCAAACCAGUAUACAACCGUAUAUAUUGAAACAUUUAAAAUAAAAAGCAGUGAUAACAAAAUUACAUAAAAUGUUCCUGAUCUAUCUGCUUCUGACCAUUUUCUCUUGCUAUCUGCUUAUCACUGCUGAUAGCCAUGUCUGCUGUGUUAGAUGAGUUUCAGAUCUUUGGAUGAGUCUUUAAUUCCAUCUCACACUUAAUGCAAUCAACUGUCCCUACCAGUCUUACUUCUCUUCCAACUAAUUCAAUUCUUCCAUGACAAGGAUUUGAUCUCUGGUUUCUAGGACCUGCUUUUCCUGUUGACGCCCAAAGUUUACAAUAGAGUGUACUUUGGGUUUUUCUCUAGCCUUGUCAGCUCUUUUAGUCAGCAGUCUGAUUUAAUGCCUAUAUACUUUGUUCUUUCUCGUGACAGGAGGAUUGGGAAGCAUGGCAAAUCACUGUGUGAAUCACACUCAGAGUUAUGGGGAACUGUGUGGGAGGCAGGCUGGUUGGGCCUUUGACUCUAAUGUGCUUGACAGCAUGGCAAAGAAGUUUGUGAUAAAAAGUUAGGAUUGUAGAUUUACACAUCCCUGAGGACUCUAAAAGUCUGAAAUAGAAUUUAAGUUUCAAAGCCAGUGCAAAUAGAUGACCUUAGGUGGAUUCCUGCCCACAUAUUGUCAGGAGGUAGAGGCAUUUGGGUCUAUUCUGUGCUGUUUUUGAGCAGGUAAAAUGAUUAUAUAACUAGGCUAUUGUCUCAUGAUCAGUCUCUUCUCUUACCUAUUUAGAAACGGUAAAGGCUCAGGAUAAAUUUUGGUUGAGUGCUUCCCUAAAUCAUGUUUCCCUACCAAAACCCCCAAUUGGAAACAUACAAUUUAAUAUGGCCUUCAAAAGAAUGACAGAGACCAGCUGACUUGAAUAUUCCCCAAAGGCCACACCUUGCUGACUCGGUCUCCAACCUGUGGCACUCUUGGACAUUUAAGUGGAAGGGCCUGGUGGGAGAAAGUUGGGUUCUUGGAGGUGAGAUGUUGGGGUACAGUCUCUUUGCUUUUACUUCUUGGCUGCUGUCAGAUGACAAGCUCCCUCUAUGAUGUCCAGAACAACAGAGCCAAGUGCUAUGGACCACAGUCUCUGAACCAUGAAACAAAAUAAGCCUUUUCCUUUUAUCCAUUGAUUAUUGAAGGUAUUUUGUUACAGUCGAGGAAAGCUAAUUCAUUGAGCAUUGUCUAAGGGACAUCAGUGAUGUCAGAAAAAGGCACAUCACAAAGUGGCCUAGAAGAUCCUCAAGAUUCUUGAUAUCCUAAGUGGGGGCCACAUCACUGUUCUUCAAGUUUUCCCAGGCUUGUCUGAUCCAAGCAUCAUCUGUUGGGUGUUGUUAAAAGAGAGUCUCUGGCUGCUUUGAGGCUGAGAUCAAGAACCCAUGGGGAGUGAGUGGCAGUGGUGCCAACCAGAACCUGUAACUCUGCAUGUCUUUUGAACAUGUCACUUUGGGAACACUGGAAUCCCUUUUGUAAACCACUGAAGAAGAUAGCUGCUUGACAGAGUCAGGGCCAAGUCUUUUCAAGAGCUUUCAUUACAGGUUCACAUUUGUUGGUCAAGGGUGUAAUUAUUAUUUGGACAUUUUCCUCUAGUGCCAUAUAGUUUAGUGACAGACAAAAGAGUUGGCAGCAAAGGAGAAAAAUCACCUUUGUACUAGUUGGGAAACCAGAAUAAAGUCCAAAGUGUUACUCAACAGAUAUGUAUCCGUGCAUGCGUGCAUGUGUGCAUGCACGUGUCUUUGUGUCUGUAUGUGUGUGUAUGUAUGUCUUUGUGUCUGGCUGCGCACGCAUGUGUGUGUGUGUGUGUGUACACAUAUAUAUAUGUAAGCAUUGUUCUAAGUUUCUUGACUCUGACAAUGUUUUUUACACACCAGUGUUCUCAUGUGUAAAUUGAGAUAAUAAGGCUAAAGCCUUAUUUCCUAUUCCUAUUCCUAGGAGGACUAACAGAACACAGAUUGUGGGAUUCCUAGGAGGACUAACAGAACACAGAUUGUGGGAUUCCUAGGAGGACUAACAGAACACAGAUCAUGGGAUUCCUGGGAGGACUAACAGAACACAGAUAGUCAAAUCCCUUAGGCAGUGGCUUUCAUGGCACACAAUUCUAAUGGGGCAGCAGCUUAUUGUUGUGAGUAAAUAGGCCAGGGUUCCAAUCUUUAUGAUUAAGUAGAAUGUUAAUGACUUAGCAUGGAAGGACUGGAGAGAUGGCUCAGUGGUUUAGAGCUAUGGCUGCUCUUCCAAAGGUCCUGAGUUCAAUUCCCAGCAACCACAUGGUGACCCACAAGUUUCUGUAAUGGGUUCUGAUGUCCUCUUCUGGUGUGUCUGAAGACAACUACAGUAUACUCAUAUAAAUAAAAUAAAUCUUAAAAAAAGUUAACGUGGAUUUUUUUUUUAUCGGUUUAUGAAAGUUACGAACUCAGACACAUCACUUCUUAUGCAGUCACCAUGAAGUUCCACUCAGUGGCAUGUUUAUGGAAUGUCUAAAAUUGUUUUAUUAUUUCAUAACUCAGUGUUACAAACUGGCAGUCUGCAGAUGCUUUGCUUGGCCUGUAUAUUUUAAAGGACAGUUUGUUUCUAUACUUACUUAUCUAGAUAUCUCACACACAGAAAUAGAUUUCUAUGUUUUAAAGAUGCUUUUUUAUAUUUUAUUAUUAUUUUUAUUUUAUGAGCAUGGGUAUAUCUGUGUGCCAUGAGUGAGCAGUUCCCAUGGAGGCCAAAAGAGGGCAUCAGAUCCUUUGAAACUGGAGUUACAGACUAUUGUGAGCUACCACAUGGGUGCUGGGAAUCAAACCUGUGUCCUCUGCAAGAGCAGCCAGUGCUCUUCACUGCUGAGCUGUGUCUCCAUCCUGAUUUCUAGGUUUUGCAGAAAAGUACUUUGAAAUGCACCCCUAGUCUCCUAUGGAUGAGGCUUUCUGCAGUUGAAAAGGGGCUGGCUUUCUGAAUGGGCAAUGUAUGCUACAGGUUUCUGCCUCUUGUUAAUAGUUGAUAUGGUUUGCCUGGCCCUACAGGCACCCGAGUGUCACCCUGAUGUCCAAGAUAAUGACUUCUUUUCUCAUACAUCCUAAUGGGUGACAGCUCUCAGCCCAGUUUGUAGCAGAUGGAUGGAUGGAUGGAUGGAUGGAUGGAUGGAUGGAUGGAUGGAUGGAGAAAGCAACCACUUCAUUGUCUUUCAUAUCAACAGACUCUUCUUAGCCAGUCAGGUCAGCAGAGCCCCUAGAUCUUCUCAGCCUUCCUAACGCUGUGACUCUCUAACAACAGCUCCUCAUGUUGUGCCCACCCUAACCAUAAAGUUAUUUUGUGGCUACAUCAUAACUAUAAUUUUGCUACAGCUAUGAAUCGUACUGUAAACAUCUGCUAUGAAGGAUAUCUGGCCCACAGCUGAGAACUGCCGCCCUAGAUGGAUAUCAAUCUGUAGGGCCACCUUCCAUGACUUUCCAGCAGGUGGGAUUUAGACUCAAGUUCAGUUCAACCUCCACCAGCGGAUUCUAUUUCUAUUUUCUAGCCUAUUUGUUUUAUCUCCAGCAUAGCUGAGCUGCACCCCACACAGUGUUUUAUCCCUGACGUAUCCAAAGCUCAGGGGCAGCCUCCGCUCUGCAAACCCUAUCAUCCUGCCGUGUGCUACCCUGAGGGCAUCUUCUCUGGUUUUUGUUUUUUCCUAGAUGUGACCCCUGAUAAUUUGGCACACUUCUAGUCCAUGCCUUAUAAAUAGGAAAUGAAGUGCAUCCCAGUGCGUUGGACUGUGGUUAGAUAAUUAGAUACUCCCAUUCUGCCACUGGAUGUGAGAACCCUGCUCACUACACCUCAGCAUCUAGGGCAGAAACGAGGUCAUUGUCAUCAAAAUAUAACCAAAACUAAGGGUACAGUCUAUUAUAUGGGAUGCUCAAAGUAUUUGUCAUUAGGAAUCCAUUUUCCAACUAAGAAGCAGAUGAUUGAUAACCAACUUUAGGGGCUGGAGAGAUGGCUCAGUGAUUAAGGGUGCUUUCUGAUCUUGCAAAAAAAAAAAGUGGCCUUUGGUUUUUAAUACCCACACUGGGUGGUUUAUACCUGCUUAUAACUCCAGCUCCAAGGGAUCUGCAACUCUGGCCUCUCAGGGCACCUGCACACAGGUAAUGAACUUAAAGAGUCAACUUUAAGAUCAGAGAAUUGGAUCACUAGACGAAGGCACUUGCCAUCAAGCAUGAAAAGCCAGGUUCUGUGCAAUCCCCAGGACCCAUACGGUAGAAGGCACGACUGCCUCUCACAACUCACUCAUGGACCUCCAAACUACUGUGGCACACGUAUGCACACAACAACAACAUACAAAUAAAUACAUAUAGUUAAAAAAAGAAGCUGUUUGUAGUCCUCUAAUGCUGCACCGUGAAACGUAUUUUUCCUUGCUGCUGUGGUUUCCUUUGAGGCUCCUAUAAAAGCUUAAUGGAACGUUAACUUCCGCUGUGCUCUUUACUUGAUGUCUCAGAGUCUUAGUUACCUGAAGUACUUCAGUUCAUCUUCUUGCCACUCAAGCUCUGCAUAGCUCCUGGCACACCAAGCAUGCCCAAUGCCUGACAGCGCAUGGUUCUUAUUCCUAUGUAGAGAGCAACCUACAAGUUGGAACCAAGUUUGGGCUUGCUCUAUUUUCCCAAAGUAUUUCUUAAGAAAGGGCAGGUCAGAGACUGUGGUUUGUCUACCCCGUGCUAAACAAAUGUAUUUUUCUUCUGUAUAAAAAGUAGUUAUUUUAAAAAUCAGUGGUUUAGCCAUUCAAAGAAGUACACUUUUAUGAUUUUUAUAACCAACAAGGUAAAAAUUAUUGAAAAUCCUGGUAAUGUAUGGUAAAACCAUCAGACAUAUAUGUGGAUUAAUUAACAAUUAUGAAGAGAAAAACCAAGUUGUACAUCUGGUGGAGGUCACUUUAUGCAAACUGGCUAGGCAUGGUGGCACAUGUUUAUUUCCAGUACUCAGGAGGCAGAGGCAGGCUCCACAGAGGGAGUUCCAGGCCCUCGAGGGCUAUAUGGUGAGAGCUUGACUCAAACUAUAACAACAACAACAACAACAACAACAAAAAUUGUCAUCAUCAACAAGAAACAAGGCAACUCUUAGGAUGUGAUGCAGUAAGGACAGGACACUAGCUAUGCAGUGUUCUUGCAGAAAAAGAAAAUCCUCAUCUGACUCUACCGAGGAAACAGUUAGGUAGAUCCAAGCCUUUACACUGUGUUACCAAAGAAGUGAGCUAGACACAGUCAGCUAUAGGAUGGAACACAGGGCCCCCAAUGGAGGAGCUAGAGAAAGCACCCAAGGAGCUAAAGGGAUCUGCAACCCUAUAGGUGGAACAACAUUAUGAACUAACCAGUACCCCCGGAGCUCGUGUCUCUAGCUGCAUAUGUAGCAGAAGAUGGCCUAGUCGGCCAUCAUUGGGAAGAGAGGCCCCUUGGUCUUGCAAACUUUAUAUGCCCCAGUACAGGGAAACACCAAGGCCAAGAAGUGGGAGUGGGUGGGUAGGGGAGCAGGGCGGGGGGAGGGUAUAGGGAACUUUCGGAAUAGUAUUUGAAAUGUAAAUAAAGAAAAUAUCUAAUAAAAAAUAAAAAUAAGUUAAAAAAAGUGAGCUAGACCCUUUAGAUGGGCCCUCCUCUUAAAAACUUCUCAGAAGGAGUCUAAAGAGACACUAUUGAUAACUGUCACAUGCAAUCCUUGAUCAAAUCCUCAAGGAGGACAAACCACAGCUGUCCAGGUUGCUAUAAGCUCAGGCGGUCAGAUUUGCAUGUGAACUAUAUAUUAGAGAGUGAGAAGGGAGUGAGACUUUGAGGCUGUGGCCUGCUAACCCACUGCUUCUGAAGUGUAGAGGGUCUGGAGAUCUUACUAGAACUAAGAGCAUCAUGAAUACAAAGGGAAUUGGUUCCACUGAGCUCAAUCUCCUGAGCUUGGAGUCACAUAAACUGUCUUUAAAAACUUAGAAAUGACCAUGAAAUCACAGUCAGGGCACACAGUUCUGUGAGGUACAAGUACUGUGGGGGAGGCAAUUCUAACUGCAGACGAUGCUGAGUGAAUAUCAAGUAUUGUGUCCAUGUGUAUGCAGGUGCAUGUGCGCCUUGUGUGAAGGCAGAGUACCUUUUUGUUUACAGGUUUCUCCAUAGUCUGGAACUUUGCUGAGUUGACUUGGCCAGCUGGCCAGCAAGCUCUAGGGAUCUGCCUGCCUUACCUCUCCAGCCUUGCCUCCCCAGCACUGGAAUUAUAAGUGUGUGCUAUCUGUCACUGAGCCCGACCUUUUGCACGGGGUCUGGGGCUCAAACUCACAUCCUCACAUCUGCAAGGCACACUUUACUGACUGAGCCAUCUCCCCAGCACUAACUGGAAACUCGAUUGUCACCAAUAGAAUUCCAGAGCAGGGCCUCUGUUUUACUGGUUUGGAGCUGUCUUGUCUAAUGAAAAUAGAUUGCUAGUAAGAACCAGGGUAAAUUUUCAUCCUUGCAGUAGUACAGGGAUGCCAGAGCAGCUGGCAGGGCAGCCCUGGCUGUCUGCGUCGGAUCCUGUGGUUUAUUAUCUCAUCUGAGGGGACAUUAGGGAAGAGUGUGGCAGCCUUGUUGGCAAUCACUAAAGAAAUUCAACGUGCGGGCUGCCUCUGUGUUUCCGAGAGGGGCAGCAGACAUUAACAGCUUACUUCUAGUCCCAGUAGCCAUGAUAUUUUCAUUACUGCUGUCCUCAGGCACAGACUUUUUAAUUUAAAACAGGAAGGUAAGUUCAGGAUGGAAAUAGCCCAUCACCAGAGGAGCAUCGCCGCACCAAAAUCACAUUAUAGCUCACCUGCCAAUCUUAGCAGCAUGCCAGGUGCUUUGGGGUGUCUGGAAGGAGGAUGUAAGAAAGGAAGGUAGCAGAAAGGCAAACUGGAA
This is a long non-coding RNA of Mus musculus (house mouse), 8231 nucleotides long. RefSeq annotates it as predicted gene, 54035. The transcript is spliced from 3 exons. The record is from RefSeq and is a predicted model, not a curated record. NCBI's taxonomy places the organism in Eukaryota, Metazoa, Chordata, Mammalia, Rodentia, Muridae.